GACGAACGCUGGCGGCGUGCUUAACACAUGCAAGUCGAACGGAAAGGCCCUGCUUUUGUGGGGUGCUCGAGUGGCGAACGGGUGAGUAACACGUGAGUAACCUGCCCUUGACUGUGGGAUAACUUCAGGAAACUGGGGCUAAUACCAGAUAGGAGCUCCUGCUGCAUGGUGGGGGUUGGAAAGUUUCGGCGGUUGGGGAUGGACUCGCGGCUUAUCAGCUUGUUGGUGGGGUAGUGGCUUACCAAGGCUUUGACGGGUAGCCGGCCUGAGAGGGUGACCGGCCACAUUGGGACUGAGAUACGGCCCAGACUCCUACGGGAGGCAGCAGUGGGGAAUAUUGCACAAUGGGCGGAAGCCUGAUGCAGCAACGCCGCGUGCGGGAUGACGGCCUUCGGGUUGUAAACCGCUUUCGCCUGUGACGAAGCGUGAGUGACGGUAAUGGGUAAAGAAGCACCGGCUAACUACGUG
This 468-nucleotide ribosomal RNA is filed under the name uncultured bacterium. RNAcentral describes it as "partial 16S ribosomal RNA". It matches the Rfam family "Bacterial small subunit ribosomal RNA", at positions 28 to 507 of the family's 1533-position model. The record is from RNAcentral.